CGCAGCCACCCCCGGCACGUCCUCUGGAGACUGGCUCACUGCACCCCUCUGUGGAUAAAGCUCAAUAUCCAGUUCAGGAAAUGGGAAACACUGAUAUAUGACUCAUCCCAUGGAACAGAAUAUAGUCUACGUGGAAUGUCACACUGUGCUUCUAGUGGCAAAGUUUGCAUAUAUGUAUGUAUCAGUGUAUCUUUAAAUUUGCCUUUGUGUUGCAAGCACUUGUUAUAUCCUUCCUAUUAUUCCUAUUAUUUAAAUCAAUUUUUAUUUUGCAAGACUACUGGUAAAGAUUUUGGAAUGAAAUGUUUCUGGGGAACCGAGUCACCCUAAUUUAAAAAAUAAAAAUAUCUCAGUAAUUUGGACAAUAGGUUUAAUGUAUGAGGUUAAAUAUAUACCUGCUUAUUAUAAAUAUGCAGAAUCAUUUCUUGUUUAGAAAAUAUUUCAAAUAUUUUAUGGAAUAAUUACAGAUUAUUUGUGUUCAGUUGGCAAUGUUCUAGCCGAACAACUUAUAAUUAAAAAUGUAAAUAAAGAAGUGUCAUUAGUCUAAAAACUUGCAGUUCAUUUUUGCUACAACUUCACUUCAAUUUUGCCCUUUUUGCAACUGCAAUUGCCCCUUCAAUUCGCCAUUUACAACUGCAAUUCAAAUCAAGAUUCUUUAAGUUUUGCUCUUAUACUGAUUUAUCCCACUUAUCUUGCUUUGCUUAACUCAAAUUUGGAUAAUAGGUUUCUGCUCAGCGUUGUUCCUCAUCUGCUUCUGGCUCACACAAAAUUUCAGG
Molecule: long non-coding RNA, 773 nt
Filed under: Homo sapiens (human)
Lineage: Eukaryota; Metazoa; Chordata; Mammalia; Primates; Hominidae
Description: HSALNT0307747
Source: RNAcentral